Molecule: ribosomal RNA, 253 nt
Filed under: uncultured bacterium
Lineage: Bacteria
Description: partial 16S ribosomal RNA
Rfam family: Bacterial small subunit ribosomal RNA
Source: RNAcentral
UACGUAGGGUGCAAGCGUUGUCCGGAAUUAUUGGGCGUAAAGAGCUCGUAGGCGGUUUGUCGCGUCGGCUGUGAAAACCUGGGGCUCAACCCCGGGCCUGCAGCCGAUACGGGCAAGCUAGAGUUCGGCAGGGGAGACUGGAAUUCCUGGUGUAGCGGUGAAAUGCGCAGAUAUCAGGAGGAACACCGGUGGCGAAGGCGGGUCUCUGGGCCGAUACUGACGCUGAGGAGCGAAAGCGUGGGGAGCAAACAGG